Molecule: long non-coding RNA, 1462 nt
Organism: Mytilus californianus (California mussel)
Lineage: Eukaryota; Metazoa; Mollusca; Bivalvia; Mytilida; Mytilidae
Exons: 2
Source: RefSeq, a predicted model, not a curated record
AUUUUUAUUGUUGUUUAUGUAGAAGGGUUUAUGUUGUAGAAAUGGUCAUCUUUUAUUUUGGUCUAGAAACUGAGUGAAUAUAUAACAAUGACACAUUUUUAGUACAAAAUAAUUGGUCUUAUUUGUAACUUCAGUAAUUUUUUAGAUUUCAUAUGUAAAGUAUCAUUUGGAAGCUCAAGGAAGUACAGCAAUUAAUAUAAUAGUGACCUGCCAAAUUUUAUUUCUUAAUAAUUAAGUUAAAAGUUAAGUGUAAUUAAGACACCAAUGUAAAUGAAACUUCAUGUUUACCGCUAUGUUGCAGGAAUAUAGAUUUAAAAAUUCCAGCUGAAAUUAGACUAACCAGUAAUCUGUCUAAUAUACUUUGUUCUCUGUAUUUCCCAAUUACACAUUAUCCUUGUUUAUAUUAUUUACAUUAUAACUGUCUACAUUUUUGGCUAAUUAAAUUCUGGAACCUCAGAUGUGUCAUUGUAAUAUAUAGAUGAAAGCCAGCCUUACAGGUGCUUAUAUUUUGGAUGGUUAUUUCUCCCCUUGUUGAAGGGAGUUUUUAGGCAUGAUUUGUGCUGAGGUGCGCUAGUAGAAACUAUUAGCAUAUUUUAAUAUUUUUGUUAGAAUCAAGUGGAUAUUUAAAGAUUAUUGGUGUUUUUGAUUGCUUAAUUUUUUAGAUAUCACAAUAAAUUUUAUUUGUGCUUUUAUGUUUAGGACUGAAUUCAAUUUGUAAUUUACAAUAUUCAUAAGGAUAACACUAAAUUUCCCCCAAUAGGAUUCUUCAUAUCUCUUGGUCUUUAAUUUGGAUGUGGGCCAAAAAAUAAGUGAAAUGAUUUCUUAUUCAUUGCAUAAAUGUUUGCUAGCUAUUCUCCUAAAUUUUUGCUUGUAAACUUUAUUUUCCUUGCUUUAAUCCCUUACAACGAAUAAAUGGUAAAGAAAAACUUGAAAAAUUUAGCUUUUUUAUAUUUUGGUCCUAACAACAGUUCUGAUGAAUUAAAAAAAAAAUGCAUACAAAUUAAACAAAAAAUAUAACCAGAAAUACUUAGUAACUAAUCUUUGGUUGUGGGAAAUUUUCUUCAACUGUGCUGGUAAUUUGCGACUUAAAAAUCUCAGAUAAGCUUGCCACUAACAGAAAUGUCUUUCCUUGCAAAUUUCUUAUUUCUUCCUGUUCAGAAUAAGGUAUUUCUUCCUGUACAGAAUAAGGUAUAUUUCUUUCUGUACAGAAUAAGGUAUUUCUUCCUGUACGGAAUAAGGUAUAUUUCUUUCUGUACAGAAUAAGGUAGUAUUUCUUCCUGUACAGAAUAAGGUAUUUCUUCCUGUACAGAAUAAGGUAACAACAUUUAGUAAAGACACAGGGUUGUUUUCAAAUAAAGUAUGAAGUUCAAGAUUGGCAGCAUGACACAGAUUGCAUGAACCAGUUUUCUGGCAUGACCAUCACUGUAUUCACUUAUUUAUUGUAACACAUUUUAUUCAUAUU